This 311-nucleotide ribosomal RNA is filed under the name uncultured Streptococcus sp. Its description in RNAcentral is "bacterial SSU rRNA". It matches the Rfam family "Bacterial small subunit ribosomal RNA", at positions 1072 to 1382 of the family's 1533-position model. Lineage: Bacteria; Bacillati; Bacillota; Bacilli; Lactobacillales; Streptococcaceae. The record is from RNAcentral.
AUGUUGGGUUAAGUCCCGCAACGAGCGCAACCCCUAUUGUUAGUUGCCAUCAUUCAGUUGGGCACUCUAGCGAGACUGCCGGUAAUAAACCGGGAGGAAGGUGGGGAUGACGUCAAAUCAUCCAUGCCCCUUAUGACCUGGGCUACACACGUGCUACAAUGGUUGGUACAACGAGUUGCGAGUCGGUGACGGCGAGCUAAUCUCUUAAAGCCAAUCUCAGUUCGGAUUGUAGGCUGCAACUCGCCUACAUGAAGUCGGAAUCGCUAGUAAUCGCGGAUCAGCACGCCGCGGUGAAUACGUUCCCGGGCCUU